This 814-nucleotide ribosomal RNA is filed under the name uncultured bacterium. RNAcentral describes it as "bacterial SSU rRNA". It matches the Rfam family "Bacterial small subunit ribosomal RNA", at positions 8 to 794 of the family's 1533-position model. The record is from RNAcentral.
AGAGUUUGAUCAUGGCUCAGGACGAACGCUGGCGGCGUGCCUAAUACAUGCAAGUCGAACGCUUCUGCUUUAAUUGAUGCUUGCAUCGACCUAAGUUAGAAGAGUGGCGAACGGGUGAGUAACACGUGGGUAACCUGCCCAUCAGAGGGGGAUAACACUUGGAAACAGGUGCUAAUACCGCAUAACACUAAAAACCGCAUGGUUUUUAGUUGAAAGGCGCUCUUGGUGUCGCUGAUGGAUGGACCCGCGGUGCAUUAGCUAGUCGGUGGGGUAACGGCCUACCGAGGCAAUGAUGCAUAGCCGACCUGAGAGGGUGAUCGGCCACAUUGGGACUGAGACACGGCCCAAACUCCUACGGGAGGCAGCAGUAGGGAAUCUUCGGCAAUGGACGAAAGUCUGACCGAGCAACGCCGCGUGAGUGAUGAAGGUUUUCGGAUCGUAAAACUCUGUUGUUAGAGAAGAACAAGAGAAGUAGUAACUGGCUUCUCCUUGACGGUAUCUAACCAGAAAGCCACGGCUAACUACGUGCCAGCAGCCGCGGUAAUACGUAGGUGGCAAGCGUUGUCCGGAUUUAUUGGGCGUAAAGCGCGUCUAGGCGGAAAAGAAAGUCUGAUGUGAAAAUGCGGGGCUCAACUCCGUAUUGCGUUGGAAACUGCUUUUCUAGAGUACUGGAGAGGUGGGCGGAACUACAAGUGUAGAGGUGAAAUUCGUAGAUAUUUGUAGGAAUGCCGAUGGAGAAGUCAGCUCACUGGACAGAUACUGACGCUGAAGCGCGAAAGCGUGGGGAGCAAACAGGAUUAGAUACCCUGGUAGU